This 539-nucleotide ribosomal RNA is filed under the name uncultured bacterium. Its description in RNAcentral is "bacterial SSU rRNA". It matches the Rfam family "Bacterial small subunit ribosomal RNA", at positions 777 to 1315 of the family's 1533-position model. The record is from RNAcentral.
AAUAGAUACCCCGGUAGUCCACGCUGUAAACGUUGGGCGCUAGGUGUGGGGGGCCUCUCCGGUUCUCUGUGCCGCAGCUAACGCAUUAAGCGCCCCGCCUGGGGAGUACGGCCGCAAGGCUAAAACUCAAAGGAAUUGACGGGGGGCCCGCACAAGCGGCGGAGCAUGCGGAUUAAUUCGAUGCAACGCGAAGAACCUUACCUGGGUUUGACAUGGCCGCAAAAACCGGCAGAGAUGUCGGGUCCUUCGGGGGCGGUCACAGGUGGUGCAUGGCUGUCGUCAGCUCGUGUCGUGAGAUGUUGGGUUAAGUCCCGCAACGAGCGCAACCCUCGUUCGAUGUUGCCAGCGGUUCGGCCGGGGACUCAUCGAAGACUGUCGGGGUCAACUCGGAGGAAGGUGGGGAUGACGUCAAGUCAUCGUGCCCCUUAUGUCCAGGGCUUCACGCAUGCUACAAUGGCCGGUACAAUGGGCUGCGAUACCGUGAGGUGGAGCGAAUCCCAUAAAGCCGGUCUCAGUUCGGAUCGGGGUCUGCAACUCGA